Molecule: ribosomal RNA, 484 nt
Filed under: uncultured bacterium
Lineage: Bacteria
Description: partial 16S ribosomal RNA
Rfam family: Bacterial small subunit ribosomal RNA
Source: RNAcentral
AUUGAACGCUGGCGGCAGGCCUAACACAUGCAAGUCGAGCGGAUGAAGGGAGCUUGCUCCUGGAUUCAGCGGCGGACGGGUGAGUAAUGCCUAGGAAUCUGCCUGGUAGUGGGGGAUAACGUCCGGAAACGGGCGCUAAUACCGCAUACGUCCUGAGGGAGAAAGUGGGGGAUCUUCGGACCUCACGCUAUCAGAUGAGCCUAGGUCGGAUUAGCUAGUUGGUGGGGUAAAGGCCUACCAAGGCGACGAUCCGUAACUGGUCUGAGAGGAUGAUCAGUCACACUGGAACUGAGACACGGUCCAGACUCCUACGGGAGGCAGCAGUGGGGAAUAUUGGACAAUGGGCGAAAGCCUGAUCCAGCCACGCCGCGUGUGUGAAGAAGGUCUUCGGAUUGUAAAGCACUUUAAGUUGGGGGGAAGGGCAGUAAGUUAAUACCUUGCUGUUUUGACGUUACCAACAGAAUAAGCACCGGCUAACUUCGUG